GAGACAGAAUCUUGCUCUGUCACCCAGGUUGGAGUGCAGUGGUGCGAUCUCACUGCAACUGCCUCACGAGUUCAAGCGAUUCUCUUGCCUCAGCCUCCUGAGUAGCUGGGAUUACAGGCAUGUACAUCGAUGCCCAGCUCAUUUUUGUAUUUUUAGUAGAGAUGAAGUUUUGCCAUGUUGGCCAGGCUGGUCUCUAACUCCUGACUUCAGGUGAUCCAUCUGCCUUGGCCUCCCAAAGUGUUAGGAUUACAGGCAUGAGCCACCGUGCCCAGCUAAAGAGUUUUCUUUUCUUUUUCUUGUUUUUUUUGAGAUGGAGUCUCAUUCUGUCACCGAGGCUGGAGUGCAAUGGCUCGAUCUCUGCUCACUGCAAGCUCUGCCUCCUGGGUUCAUGCCAUUCUCCUGCCUCAGCCUCCCAAGUAGCUGGGACUACAGGCACCCACCACCAAGGCCGGCUAAUUUUUUUUAUUUUUAGUACAGACGGGGUUUCACCGUGUUAGCCAGGAUGGUCUCGAUCUCCUGACCUCGUGAGCCACCAGCCUUGGCCUCCCAAAGUGCUGGGAUUACAGGCGUGAGCCACCGCGCUCGGCUGCCAAGAGUUUUCUUUUUAAUAAACAAAAUUAUAAUAAUGACAAUAAUCUGUUCUGAACUAAACGGCAGCAGUGUCUGAACACCAAGACUGUUUGCUUUAUUAAUAGGUGGCCACAUUUUGUUUUGUCUC
This 718-nucleotide long non-coding RNA is filed under the name Homo sapiens (human). RNAcentral describes it as "non-protein coding lnc-SLC16A1-3:1". Lineage: Eukaryota; Metazoa; Chordata; Mammalia; Primates; Hominidae. The record is from RNAcentral.